UCGCUACUACCGAUUGAACAUUUUAGUGAGGCAUCCGGACUGGCGCUUCGGAGCUGGCGACAGCUCUGUUUUGUUGGGAAGUUUUCCAAACUUGGAUGUUUAGAGGAAGUAAAAGUCGUAACAAGGUUUCCGUAGGUGAACCUGC
This 145-nucleotide ribosomal RNA is filed under the name uncultured eukaryote. RNAcentral's name for it is "partial small subunit ribosomal RNA". It matches the Rfam family "Eukaryotic small subunit ribosomal RNA", at positions 1676 to 1818 of the family's 1831-position model. The record is from RNAcentral.